This 949-nucleotide ribosomal RNA is filed under the name Acinetobacter gyllenbergii. RNAcentral describes it as "bacterial SSU rRNA". It matches the Rfam family "Bacterial small subunit ribosomal RNA", at positions 40 to 988 of the family's 1533-position model. The record is from RNAcentral. Lineage: Bacteria; Pseudomonadati; Pseudomonadota; Gammaproteobacteria; Moraxellales; Moraxellaceae.
CUGCGCGCUUACCAUGCAGUCGAGCGGAGAUGAGGUGCUUGCACCUUAUCUUAGCGGCGGACGGGUGAGUAAUGCUUAGGAAUCUGCCAUUUAGUGGGGGACAACAUUCCGAAAGGAAUGCUAAUACCGCAUACGUCCUACGGGAGAAAGCAGGGGAUCUUCGGACCUUGCGCUAAAUGAUGAGCCUAAGUCGGAUUAGCUAGUUGGUGGGGUAAAGGCCUACCAAGGCGACGAUCUGUAGCGGGUCUGAGAGGAUGAUCCGCCACACUGGGACUGAGACACGGCCCAGACUCCUACGGGAGGCAGCAGUGGGGAAUAUUGGACAAUGGGCGGAAGCCUGAUCCAGCCAUGCCGCGUGUGUGAAGAAGGCCUUUUGGUUGUAAAGCACUUUAAGCGAGGAGGAGGCUACUAGUACUAAUACUACUGGAUAGUGGACGUUACUCGCAGAAUAAGCACCGGCUAACUCUGUGCCAGCAGCCGCGGUAAUACAGAGGGUGCGAGCGUUAAUCGGAUUUACUGGGCGUAAAGCGUGCGUAGGCGGCUUUUUAAGUCGGAUGUGAAAUCCCCGAGCUUAACUUGGGAAUUGCAUUCGAUACUGGGAAGCUAGAGUAUGGGAGAGGAUGGUAGAAUUCCAGGUGUAGCGGUGAAAUGCGUAGAGAUCUGGAGGAAUACCGAUGGCGAAGGCAGCCAUCUGGCCUAAUACUGACGCUGAGGUACGAAAGCAUGGGGAGCAAACAGGAUUAGAUACCCUGGUAGUCCAUGCCGUAAACGAUGUCUACUAGCCGUUGGGGCCUUUGAGGCUUUAGUGGCGCAGCUAACGCGAUAAGUAGACCGCCUGGGGAGUACGGUCGCAAGACUAAAACUCAAAUGAAUUGACGGGGGCCCGCACAAGCGGUGGAGCAUGUGGUUAAUUCGAUGCAACGCGAAGACCUUACCUGGCCUUGACUAC